AAAGUCGUAACAAGGUUUCCGUAGGUGAACCUGCGGAAGGAUCAUUACUGAGUGAGGGCCCUCUGGGUCCAACCUCCCACCCGUGUCUCUUGUACCAUGUUGCUUCGGCGAGCCCGCCUCACGGCCGCCGGGGGGCAUCUGCCCCCGGGCCCGCGCCCGCCGAAGCCCCCUCUGAACGCUGUCUGAAGAUUGCAGUCUGAGCGAUAAGCAAAAAUUAUUUAAAACUUUCAACAACGGAUCUCUUGGUUCCG
Molecule: unclassified non-coding RNA, 251 nt
Filed under: Ascomycota sp.
Lineage: Eukaryota; Fungi; Ascomycota
Description: partial contains small subunit ribosomal RNA, internal transcribed spacer 1, and 5.8S ribosomal RNA
Rfam family: Eukaryotic small subunit ribosomal RNA (bases 1-47)
Source: RNAcentral